GUGCUCGCUUCAGCAGCACAUAUACUAAAAUUGAAAUGAUACAGAGAUUAGCAUGGUCCCUGCACAAGGAUGACACUUAAAUUCUUGCAGUGUUGCAUAUUUUU
Small nuclear RNA from Nannospalax galili (Upper Galilee mountains blind mole rat), 104 nucleotides. The record is from Ensembl. NCBI's taxonomy places the organism in Eukaryota, Metazoa, Chordata, Mammalia, Rodentia, Spalacidae.